This 760-nucleotide long non-coding RNA is filed under the name Vigna radiata. RNAcentral describes it as "long non-coding RNA (VRAD_LNC002506)". Lineage: Eukaryota; Viridiplantae; Streptophyta; Magnoliopsida; Fabales; Fabaceae. The record is from RNAcentral.
ACAAAAUGUUUCCACAGAAAGUUGUUCAUUCAUCUAUGCACGUGCCUCUUUGUCCCACUCCUUUUUUCUUUAUUCUCUUCCUUCUCUUUCCGAAAUUGAAUUUUUCUCCCUUUUUUUACUUUUCCCUUAUGCUCUCUUCCCGAAGUUCAAUCCCCUCCCCUUUUCCUUGUUUACCGGGUGCAUAUUUAUAUACACACAUUUGUAAUAUUAUUGUGAUCUUGCCUUAAUGGCGAAUUAAUUGUCAAUUAGCAAAAUAGGGAAAUAAAUGGUCUUGAUUGAAGAAAAAUAAAUCAAAUUAAAAUCAUAUUUUUCUCUUUAGGAAGAAAUUGAAUACAACAAUCAAUAUAUUAUUUUUAAUUAUUUCUUGUAAUGAUUGCCAUAAUGUUGAUUCAAAUUAUUACCAAUUAAAACCAAAUUUUAAAAAAAAAUUCUUAAGUAAUCGAUCAUGCAUUAAUUGCUUAUGAGCAUUUUCCAAGGAAAUCACAUGCAACACUUUUCUCAUUUUAUUCACGUGCACCUCCUUUUUUCUUUUUUCCUUCCUUCCUUUUUUAUUUCUCUUUUUUUCAUUUUUCAUGUUCUUUUUUUCUUUUCUUUUUCCUUUUUUUCCUUUUAAAAAUUUUUUGCUUUUUUUUUAUUCUUUCUUCGUUUCUUUUUUGUAAUUAUUUUUUUUAAAACAAAAUAGUAAAAUAAAAUUAAGAACAACAAAAUAACAUAAAAUAAAAUAAAUAAUAAAAAGGAUGAAAGAAAAUGUAUGAAAUAG